RNAcentral lists this ribosomal RNA (405 nucleotides) under uncultured bacterium. RNAcentral's name for it is "partial 16S ribosomal RNA". It matches the Rfam family "Bacterial small subunit ribosomal RNA", at positions 28 to 526 of the family's 1533-position model. The record is from RNAcentral.
GAUGAACGCUGGCGGCGUGCCUAAUACAUGCAAGUCGAGCGAAGCGGGGACGGGGGAGUAACACGUGGAUAACGUCCUAUACGACUGGGAUAACUUCGGUAAAGCGGAGCUAACCAGGAUACUUGUAGAUGGAUCAGCGCUGCAUUAGCUAGUUGGUAAGGUAACGGCUUACCAAGGCAACGAUGCAUAGCCGACCUGAGAGGGUGAUCGGCCACACUGGAACUGAGACACGGUCCAGACUCCUACGGGAGGCAGCAGUAGGGAAUCUUCCGCAAUGGGCGAAAGCCUGACGGAGCAACGCCGCGUGAGUGAUGAAGGUCUUCGGAUCGUAAAACUCUGUUAUUAGGGAAGCGGUACCUAAUCAGAAAGCCCCGGCUAACUACGUGCCAGCAGCCGCGGUAAUUC